RNAcentral lists this ribosomal RNA (253 nucleotides) under uncultured bacterium. RNAcentral's name for it is "partial 16S ribosomal RNA". It matches the Rfam family "Bacterial small subunit ribosomal RNA", at positions 524 to 776 of the family's 1533-position model. The record is from RNAcentral.
UACGUAGGGUGCAAGCGUUAAUCGGAAUUAUUGGGCGUAAAGCGCACGUAGGCGGAUUUGUAAGUCAGGGGUGAAAUCCCGGGGCUCAACCUCGGAACUGCCUUUGAUACUGCAAAUCUCGAGUCCGGAAGAGGUGAGUGGAAUUCCUAGUGUAGAGGUGAAAUUCGUAGAUAUUAGGAAGAACACCAGUGGCGAAGGCGGCUCACUGGUCCGGUACUGACGCUGAGGUGCGAAAGCGUGGGGAGCAAACAGG